Long non-coding RNA from Suricata suricatta (meerkat), 717 nucleotides. RefSeq lists it as uncharacterized. The transcript is spliced from 4 exons. The record is from RefSeq and is a predicted model, not a curated record. Lineage: Eukaryota; Metazoa; Chordata; Mammalia; Carnivora; Herpestidae.
UUUAAAAGUCAAUUGAGAAACCAUUUUUUACCAAGUUGAGUGGUAAAGCUGAUAGAUGACGCAGAGAUAAGUAGAUAUGCCCCCACCUGUGGGAAAUGAGCCCUGUACAAAUUGUUGCAGCCUGGCUUAUACACACAAAUUGGAAUUUUCUCAUAUUCUUCGUGGCAUUUGCACCCACCUGCACAUCAUCUCACCAGAUGGCCGGACCGGUGAAUGCAGGGUGACGAUAGUUUCCCGCAGAAGUGGCGCUGACACGCUCUCCCUGCUGCGUCCAGACGAUGCGCACAAGGUCAGCGUGCUUUUGCCAGUGCAGAGCCUGCAAAGACGAUGGGAAACCAAGUCCACUGCAGAAUCACUUCUCUCCAGCCUUUUCCUACACCAGGGUCUCUGAGGCAGCAAGCGCCCCUCCUGUACCCGCAUUUCAGUUAGAACGGAAAUGAGGCAGCCUUCUAGGGCUUUAGGGAUAAAAGCAACAUCCUCCACAGAUAGGAGGUCUGUCUGGAACUCGUUAGGGACAUCGCGCAGGCUUAGAGAAUCACAACCGUGAUCUCAACACGCUUCCCUAAGCUUAAAGGAAAUUAGAACCACAUGGCAAGAAAACUACCUAAGCUCAAGCAAACAAAAAUAACAAACACACAAAGAACAAAAGUUUAGCAUCCUUAACUCAUAAAUUAUACUUACAGUAAGGAAUAUCAUUCCAUUAUACAAAUAGCAACA